GCAUUAUGAUCAAGACUGUGUCAGAAAGUUGUACAAAGCCGAGGGCACACGAGAGGUAUGACGCUUCCAACAUCGAUCUCUACUUCAUGAAACUCCUGUGGUCAUUCAGAGGGAUGCUAAUGGAUAGAGUUGUACACUGCUCCAUUAUAAAAAAGAGGAUUUAAAUGUGUUACUGACAGGUUUCACUUCUCUUCCCCCCACCCGAAAAUGGGGGCUCCCUGGUGCUGGAGAAGGCCACGCCACUCUGCUGCCCACCUGCAUCCUCUGUCCUGUAACAACAGAUGUGAGAUCCAUUGGGCACCAUUUGCCUGCUCCCACUACUGUAAUAAGCAUCAUUACUAAUUAAAUUAUCACAUCUACUUUUGCAAAAAUGAUGG
This is a long non-coding RNA of Rhea pennata, 377 nucleotides long. RefSeq lists it as uncharacterized. The transcript has 3 exons. NCBI's taxonomy places the organism in Eukaryota, Metazoa, Chordata, Aves, Rheiformes, Rheidae. The record is from RefSeq and is a predicted model, not a curated record.